CGUGUAGGCGGAUUUUCAAGUCAGAUGUGAAAACCGGUGGCUCAACUGCCGGCCUGCAUCUGAUACUGUUAAUCUUGAGUACGGAAGAGGAAAGCGGAAUUCCAGGUGUAGCGGUGACAUGCGUAGAUAUCUGGAAGAACACCGGUGGCGAAGGCGGCUUUCUGGUCCGAUACUGACGCUGAGGCGCGAAAGCUAGGGGAGCAAACAGGAUUAGAUACCCUGGUAGUCC
Molecule: ribosomal RNA, 229 nt
Filed under: uncultured bacterium
Lineage: Bacteria
Description: partial 16S ribosomal RNA
Rfam family: Bacterial small subunit ribosomal RNA
Source: RNAcentral